This 805-nucleotide ribosomal RNA is filed under the name uncultured bacterium. Its description in RNAcentral is "bacterial SSU rRNA". It matches the Rfam family "Bacterial small subunit ribosomal RNA", at positions 8 to 794 of the family's 1533-position model. The record is from RNAcentral.
AGAGUUUGAUCAUGGCUCAGGAUGAACGCUGGCGGCGUGCCUAAUACAUGCAAGUCGAGCGAACUGAUUAGAAGCUUGCUUCUAUGACGUUAGCGGCGGACGGGUGAGUAACACGUGGGCAACCUGCCUGUAAGACUGGGAUAACUUCGGGAAACCGAAGCUAAUACCGGAUAGGAUCUUCUCCUUCAUGGGAGAUGAUUGAAAGAUGGUUUCGGCUAUCACUUACAGAUGGGCCCGCGGUGCAUUAGCUAGUUGGUGAGGUAACGGCUCACCAAGGCAGCGAUGCAUAGCCGGACUGAGAGGUUGAUCGGCCACAUUGGAACUGAGACACGGUCCAAACACCUACGGGUGGCAGCAGUAGGGAAUUUUUCGCAAUGGGGGCAACCCUGACGGAGCAAUGCCGCGUGGAGGAUGAAGGUCUUCGGAUCGUAAACUCCUGUUGUAAGGGAAGAAUUACAAGAUUAGGAAAUGAAUCUUGCUUGACGGUACCUUACCAGAAAGCCUCGGCUAACUACGUGCCAGCAGCCGCGGUAAUACGUAGGAGGCAAGCGUUAUCCGGAAUUAUUGGGCGUAAAGAGCAUGUAGGCGGUUUGUUAAGUCUGAUGUGAAAGCUAAUGGCCUAACCAUUAAAUUGCAUUGGAAACUGGCAAACUAGAAUACUGGAGAGGUAAGUGGAACUCCAUGUGUAGCGGUGGAAUGCGCAGAUAUAUGGAAGAACACCAAUGGCGAAGGCAGCUUACUGGACAGAGAUUGACGCUGAGAUGCGAAAGCGUGGGGAGCAAACAGGAUUAGAUACCCUGGUAGU